RNAcentral lists this transfer-messenger RNA (396 nucleotides) under Flavobacteriaceae bacterium. It matches the Rfam family "transfer-messenger RNA". From Rfam's summary of the family: Bacterial tmRNA, also known as 10Sa RNA or SsrA, is named for its dual tRNA and mRNA-like properties. Lineage: Bacteria; Pseudomonadati; Bacteroidota; Flavobacteriia; Flavobacteriales; Flavobacteriaceae. The record is from RNAcentral.
GGGGUCGACUGGUUUUGACAACAGGAAUGAUUAUGACAGUUUGCAAGUCGAGCACUAGAAAAUAGCUCGUAAAUCAUCUUUUCUAAAUAUUUAAUUGGCGAAAAUAAUUACGCUCUAGCUGCCUAGACUAUCCAUUAGUUUAAAGCAUAACUCGAAUAGAUCGAGAAAGUUAGAUGUCUUCAAGAAUAGCCUUGGUUGACGGCGAUUCUUCAAAGGCACCAAAAAAAGUCAACAUAGAAUGGUUGGGUGCACUUUCUGUUUGAAAAUUUUUAGCACUAAGGAAAUUAGUUGGAUGUUUCUGGCCAAUAAUUUCUCGAAAAUUAAAGAGAAACUAAGCUUGUAGAAAACCGAUGAUCACUUGUUUGGACGCGGGUUCGAUUCCCGCCGACUCCACUU